This 253-nucleotide ribosomal RNA is filed under the name uncultured bacterium. RNAcentral describes it as "partial 16S ribosomal RNA". It matches the Rfam family "Bacterial small subunit ribosomal RNA", at positions 524 to 776 of the family's 1533-position model. The record is from RNAcentral.
UACAGAGGUCUCAAGCGUUGUUCGGAUUUAUUGGGCGUAAAGAGCUCGUAGGCGGCUUGUCACGUCGGGUGUGAAAGCCCGGGGCUUAACCCCGGGUCUGCAUUCGAUACGGGCUAGCUAGAGUGUGGUAGGGGAGAUCGGAAUUCCUGGUGUAGCGGUGAAAUGCGCAGAUAUCAGGAGGAACACCAAUAGCGAAGGCAGCUCGCUGGGACGGUACUGACGCUGAGGCGCGAAAGCGUGGGGAGCGAACAGG